UUGCCUAGAACUCUCCAUCUGGAACUCCAGCAUGGCUGUUUCAUCCGGACGUCCCUAGUUGACUUCUGCUAGCAGAUUGCAGGUGUCCAAUCUGAUAAGGUCUUCAUUGCACAUGAAAAUCUGGAUGGAUGGAACAGUAGGGCAUGGGCUGAACAAAAUACCUGCCUGCCUGUGGGAACCUGGAAGUCCCGCCUUUUCCACCCAGCCAUUGGCCGCUGGUAUCUUUAUUGAUCGAUCAAGAAUCAAUUGGGGAACAGAACCUUCAGCAUUCACAAGCAGACCACCCUCUACAAUGAAACGGGAGAAACUGAAGUGCAUGGAGUGAUUCUUCCUGGUGUUAAGGAUUGUUAUGAAACUAUGGAAAUCAAAGAAGGCAUGGUGCUUUGGAAGAACAGUCACAGACUACUCGGGGAGAACACAGAAACCAGAAACAAACUCCAGUAAGUAUAUCCAAUGAUUUUUGACAAAAGUGAGAAGGAAAUUUGAUGGAGGAAAUAUUUUUCAAUAUAUGGUGAGGAAAUC
Molecule: long non-coding RNA, 522 nt
Organism: Mastomys coucha (southern multimammate mouse)
Lineage: Eukaryota; Metazoa; Chordata; Mammalia; Rodentia; Muridae
Exons: 4
Source: RefSeq, a predicted model, not a curated record